GACGAACGCUGGCGGCGUGCUUAACACAUGCAAGUCGAACGGAAAGGCCCUGCUUUUGUGGGGUGCUCGAGUGGCGAACGGGUGAGUAACACGUGAGUAACCUGCCCUUGACUUUGGGAUAACUUCAGGAAACUGGGGCUAAUACCGGAUAGGAGCUCCUGCUGCAUGGUGGGGGUUGGAAAGUUUCGGCGGUUGGAGAUGGACUCGCGGCUUAUCAGCUUGUUGGUGGGGUAGUGGCUUACCAAGGCUUUGACGGGUAGCCGGCCUGAGAGGGUGACCGGCCACAUUGGGACGGAGAUACGGCCCAGACUCCUACGGGAGGCAGCAGUGGGGAAUAUUGCACAAUGGGCGGAAGCCUGAUGCAGCAACGCCGCGUGCGGGAUGACGGCCUUCGGGUUGUAAACCGCUUUCGCCUGUGACGAAGCGUGAGUGACGGUAAUGGGUAAAGAAGCACCGGCUAACUACGUG
RNAcentral lists this ribosomal RNA (468 nucleotides) under uncultured bacterium. RNAcentral describes it as "partial 16S ribosomal RNA". It matches the Rfam family "Bacterial small subunit ribosomal RNA", at positions 28 to 507 of the family's 1533-position model. The record is from RNAcentral.